This 1433-nucleotide ribosomal RNA is filed under the name uncultured organism. Its description in RNAcentral is "SSU rRNA". It matches the Rfam family "Bacterial small subunit ribosomal RNA". The record is from RNAcentral.
UACAGGCUUAACACAUGCAAGUCGAGGGGCAUCAGGAAGAAAGCUUGCUUUCUUUGCUGGCGACCGGCGCACGGGUGAGUAACACGUAUCCAACCUGCCCUUUACUCGGGGAUAGCCUUUCGAAAGAAAGAUUAAUGCCCGAUGGCAUAAUGAUUCCGCAUGGUUUCAUUAUUAAAGGAUUCCGGUAAAGGAUGGGGAUGCGUUCCAUUAGGUUGUUGGUGAGGUAACGGCUCACCAAGCCUUCGAUGGAUAGGGGUUCUGAGAGGAAGGUCCCCCACAUUGGAACUGAGACACGGUCCAAACUCCUACGGGAGGCAGCAGUGAGGAAUAUUGGUCAAUGGGCGCUAGCCUGAACCAGCCAAGUAGCGUGAAGGAUGAAGGCUCUAUGGGUCGUAAACUUCUUUUAUAUAAGAAUAAAGUGCAGUAUGUAUACUGUUUUGUAUGUAUUAUAUGAAUAAGGAUCGGCUAACUCCGUGCCAGCAGCCGCGGUAAUACGGAGGAUCCGAGCGUUAUCCGGAUUUAUUGGGUUUAAAGGGAGCGUAGGUGGACUGGUAAGUCAGUUGUGAAAGUUUGCGGCUCAACCGUAAAAUUGCAGUUGAUACUGUCAGUCUUGAGUACAGUAGAGGUGGGCGGAAUUCGUGGUGUAGCGGUGAAAUGCUUAGAUAUCACGAAGAACUCCGAUUGCGAAGGCAGCUCACUGGACUGCAACUGACACUGAUGCUCGAAAGUGUGGGUAUCAAACAGGAUUAGAUACCCUGGUAGUCCACACAGUAAACGAUGAAUACUCGCUGUUUGCGAUAUACAGUAAGCGGCCAAGCGAAAGCAUUAAGUAUUCCACCUGGGGAGUACGCCGGCAACGGUGAAACUCAAAGGAAUUGACGGGGGCCCGCACAAGCGGAGGAACAUGUGGUUUAAUUCGAUGAUACGCGAGGAACCUUACCCGGGCUUAAAUUGCAGUGGAAUGAUGUGGAAACAUGUCAGUGAGCAAUCACCGCUGUGAAGGUGCUGCAUGGUUGUCGUCAGCUCGUGCCGUGAGGUGUCGGCUUAAGUGCCAUAACGAGCGCAACCCUUAUCUUUAGUUACUAACAGGUUAUGCUGAGGACUCUAGAGAGACUGCCGUCGUAAGAUGUGAGGAAGGUGGGGAUGACGUCAAAUCAGCACGGCCCUUACGUCCGGGGCUACACACGUGUUACAAUGGGGGGUACAGAAGGCAGCUAGCGGGUGACCGUAUGCUAAUCCCAAAAGCCUCUCUCAGUUCGGAUCGAAGUCUGCAACCCGACUUCGUGAAGCUGGAUUCGCUAGUAAUCGCGCAUCAGCCACGGCGCGGUGAAUACGUUCCCGGGCCUUGUACACACCGCCCGUCAAGCCAUGGGAGCCGGGGGUACCUGAAGUACGUAACCGCAAGGAUCGUCCUAGGGUAAAACUGGUGACUG